This is a long non-coding RNA of Rosa rugosa (rugosa rose), 8625 nucleotides long. RefSeq lists it as uncharacterized. Lineage: Eukaryota; Viridiplantae; Streptophyta; Magnoliopsida; Rosales; Rosaceae. The record is from RefSeq and is a predicted model, not a curated record. The transcript has 3 exons.
ACCCCGAAAAAUCUAAAUUAAAUUCCGUGAAUUUUUAGAAAUGAUUCCACGAUAGUGGGAGCGAGUACGAGGCUCGGAGAAGUUGUGGAAUUAGUUCGAACGAUUAAAUUUCGAAAACGAACGUUAUUUAGGGGCUCGCGAAAGUUGACUUUUUAUACGUUCAAAAUUUGGGAAAACUUCCUUCGUGAAAGUUGUAGAGCUCGUCGAUACGAUCUCGUGCAUAUGUGGAACGCAAAAAUCGGAGUUCGUAUGAGAAAGUUAUGAUCAAUUGAAAUUUGGGGAAAUUUCUAUAAAUAGCAAAAAAAUCCCGAAAAUGGAAAUUUUCUGCAGAUUUUUCUCUCCCGAGCUCGGCUACUGUAGCCAUUUCGCCUCCUUCAUUCUUCCUCCUCCGUCCACAAUAGGUCAAAUUGUUGAGUGGGUUUUGUUCACCACACUCCCACCUACACGUCUGUGGAAGCCUUUUAGCAUGGGAAGCACUGUGGAGGCCGUUGCAACCUCGGGAAGUUGCUCCGCCGAGCUAAAAACGCCCAAAAUCGCCGACCUUGGUUCUCCCAAUUCCGGCCACCAUAGCUCGAGUUCUUUGAGGGCUUUUCUAGCCCAGAGGCCGUAGAUGCUUCCCUCCAAGCGGCUUGCAACGAUUUCACCUGUGGAGCUCGAAUUUUGAAGAUUGGGAAACUAGGGUUCUUCGGGUUUCAAAACUUGCGAGGUGAUCGACGGUUUGAUUUGGCGGACGAUUCGUGAAAUUGUAUUUUGAGCUGUUAAGAAGACGCAGCGGGAAUUUAGAGGUGAGUAAACCUCACGUGGUUCAUAUUACGAACCGAAUAAAUUUAAUUACUUUAUUUUGUCGUAAUUGUGUGAAAAUAUUUAUGAAAUAAAUAUUUGUUUUAAAUCAUAUGGGCUUGAUCAACUACGGUCCAUAGGUAAGUAAAAUGAUUUAAUUAUACAAAAUGAAUUUCACGAUUUUUAUGCUUGAACUAUAGUUGGUAUUAGUGAUUAUCCCUGAGCGGAUAAUUACGUAUAUAUAUAUUUACGUGGUUAUAUAUGGAUUGGUGUGACAUGGAGAUGUGUGAUUUUAUAAUGAUUUAAGUGAUGUGAAAUCGAAAACGUGAUUUACCAUAUUCAUUUAUGAUGAUAGUGAUUGGUGAAAUUAUAUUGGAAAUUUAUGGAUGACGUGGUAUUGAGUGAUGAUAUGAUUGAGUAUGGAUUGGUGAUUUUUGGAGUUGUAUUUUGAGUACAUAUAUAUACACAAUAAUAGUACGUAUCAUGGUAUUAUUGAUCCUAUUGUGUGAAAGAAUAUUAUUGUACUCGAUUUUGGUUUUAGGAUCAACAUAGUGACCAGUAUGGGGGAAUCGGAUGCUCUAAUACUAGGUGGAUGAUGGGCUACGAUUGGUCGAGUGUAAGAGACGCCCCAACCCUCAUUGGGUGAUGGGCUAAGUUGAGUAUGUGUAUCGGAUGUUCUAACCUAUGUUGAUGAACUACGAUAUUGAUAAUCACGUCGGAUGCCAUAACCUAGGCCAGGUGAUGGGCUACGAUUCAGUUAGAGCUCUAGUCUGUCAGUCACCGUAUUUGUAUAAAUACGCUUUCGGGGUUUUGGAAAGAAAUAUGUGAGUUUAGAUCCCGUAUUAAUCUUUGGUGAUUUAGAGUGGUGAUUUUAGUGACUGAUUUUGGGGAUUGUGGAUUGCUUUGUGGUUGUUGUGAUUGUUGGUUGUUUUGCUUGAGUUAAAAGAAAUAUGAUUUAAUAAAUCAACCGUUCAUUUCUUGUUUACUCAUACGAGCUUUAAAGAUUUCUUUAAAGCUUACCGGGUUUUGUGUUGUUGCCAAUUCCCGGUGCACUAUUAAAUUCAAAUGGUGUAGCGGGAAAUCCUACAGGUCAGGAAGAUCAAGGCGGAGAUCGUGAGGGUUAGAGUUUUUGUUUCAGUUUACAGCUUUGUAAAUUGUGAGAUGUAUUAUUGAGAGGUGUGAAGUGUGGUUGUUGUGAGAAAAAAUUCAGGACGUUUAUUCUUUUAAGUUGUAUAAUUCAUGUUUCGGAUUUUAAUUGUAUUUAAAAUUCGGGGCGUGACAGUUUGGUAUCAGAGCGUAAGGUGCAUAUUUGGUGAUGUGUCAAUACCUUCCGAGUGAUGGCCCGUCUGCAGCGGAUCCCCAUCGUGUGCUCUUCGGUAUUGGCUAAGUCAUUGGGUAUGCGUGAGUGUUGGGAGUUGUUUAGGCCGCUAGGUCGUUUUAGGAACGUGAAUACCUUCCCUAUAGUAUUGACUUGGUUAAUAUGAAUUUGUAUUUGACUUAUACUGUGUUUUAAGUGUUAUACAUGUAUUAGCCAAGCAUACUAUACUCCUUAGGUGAUGGAGAUUCGAAGGGGUUGUACUUAGAACCUUACAGUUGUCUUGUAGGUUCGUAUUGGAAUAAGUUCAGUGGCCGCGAGUUACAAUCCUUGAGGAAUAGGAACCCCUUGAUUCAACUCUGUUAAGUCAACGAGGAUUGUUUUAUGGAAAUGAGGUUCUUUUGAUUGUUGAAGUGGUUGGUUGAAGGCAUGGUGUGGACCUAUGCUCGUCUGUAAUGUGGAUACGAGUAUUAAUCGAUAGUAAUUUUGCCUUUUUAAGUCGGAUAUACUAAUGUUUUUGAAUAGAUUCUUGACUCAUGUGGAGUUGUGAGUAGUGUUGCGGUUAGGGAAGGAAUUAUUGCGGUUAAUUCUUCCAUGUGCUUGUAAGUUGUUGAGCAUGGUUUAAGGUGCGGGAACGGAGUUUGAUCUUGUGUUUGAGUGAUUGAGACGAACGACUAUAUAUUUAAGUUGUCUACAAGUACCUAUAAUCAUAAGGGUUAUUGAAGUGGGACUAGUGGUAAUUUUAGUGAUUCUAAAAUUGAAUCGAGUUCGAGGAACGUGUUUUAUAUACGUGGUUGAUGUUGCGAGCAUCAUUUUUGAUUGAUAUUUUGCGUUUCACAAAGACAACUGGAUUGGAAAUUCUCCAUUUGGACACCUUGGUCUGUUGACCUGACUAUGACUUGUGGACAUAGUUUUAUUUAAGUGAAGGAAAUUGAUUUUUGAACUAGUUUUCUUAAGUUUUGGAUCGUAGUAUGGAGUUGGACUGAAGUGAAUUUGAGGUUGUUUGUGUUUUAAGUUUAAGUAGGCGGGACACUUAAAGUUUUGAAAUGGAGUUGAUUUUGGUGUAAUUAAUGGGGAGAGUUAGAAUCAGUUCUUGUGAAGGAUGUUUGACGAGAGUGUGUGCCUUUGGUGAUUGAUCUUAGGUGAUAUAGUUAAACGCAAUUUCGGAUAUUGAUUUUAGUGACCUUGUUAGGUAUAUCCAUAGUGGUUCAAGUGAAUUACUAUGUGAUAUGGAGUUUGAUUCGAUUUCUGAAUCGCUAAAUGUUAGGGAUUGAAUUGUGGUGAGUUUUUGUUGAAGCAAUUGAUAGAUGGAAUUAUCGAGAUUCUAUAAGAGUUGUAAGAGUAACUCUAAAGAUGUGGGUUUUUCCUAGCUAACUCAGGAAGUGUUUAGCUUUAUUAAUCCCUAAUUCUAGCGACGAAAUUAUUGUGUUUGGUUUGACUCAGAGGAUACUAGUUUGACCUCUGUGUGACUUAAUUGAUUGUUAGGUUUUGAAUGAUUGUUUGUGAUAAAUCAUUUUGAAAGAUGUGUGCAGCAGAGUUCUCGAUGGUUUUGAAAAGAGUAUUGAGUGACCAAGGUUCGAUCCUUGGUGUUGUUGUUGGUUAAACAAAAAGAAAAGAAAACAUCCACACAAUCUUAUUGAUUUUAUAUUACAAAAAGGGAAACGAGGACUAUUCUAUACUAAGCCUAGUCAGCAGCUCCGGAUGGGUUGAGGCUGAGCUCAAGAGAAACGUUUGAGCCACUGUGAUAACCGCCUGAGCCACCAGAAUAGUAACCCAAUGCGCUACCUUCCUCGGAAGUAGUCUUCAGGUUACCAAAGACGUCCUCGCCGUGCACGGGGAACAGAGGAAGAGUUUGAACCUCCUGGUGAUCUCCUCCUCGUUGUUGCAGGGAUGUUUGUCCUCCUGUUGUGCCAAAAGAGUUGUACUAGUAUUAGUGUUGAAGUGUGAGGAAGAAUAUGAAACAGAAUUUAAAUCAAGAAAUCCUUCAUUACCAGUAGAAUAGGUGGAACCAAAGUUGAGAUCAAUGGAUCUACCAUCAUCAGUAGAACUAGUGGACCCAAAAUUGAUGUCAAUGGAUCCACCAGCUGGCCCAAAAUUGAUGUCGAUGGAUCCACCAGCACCAGUAGAACCAGUGGACCCAAAAUUGAGAUCAAUGGAUCUACCAGUACCAAGAGAACUAGUUCUCAUGGGCACUGGAGCAGCCUGAUUACACCUAUUCAUCUGCUUCUCUCGAGCCCUGACGUUCUGGAACCAAAAGUAAAUGUUCUUACCCUCAACAUACCCAUACUGGUUCAGCUGGAGACAGAUCUCGUGAAUCUGCUCUGUAGUUGGGCACUUAAAUCCCUUGACGUAGUAAAGAUCCUUGAGGAUUCUUAUUUGUUCUGGAGUAGGAAUCCAUCUGGUACGGCUUCGCCAGAAAUCCACGUUGGCACUACUUCCAGCUGCUUGGGUGUUUCCUCCCUCCUCUGUUGGUUGCUGUUGUUGUGGUUCCAUUUGUUGCGGGGUUUGGAGCUCCAUUAGUUGCAGAGUUCGUGGCUCUUGGGUCAUGGGGUGAGAGGAUGUGAAAAUCGAGGAAUACAUGGUUUAGUGUUUGAGGGAGAUUUUGUUAGAAGGAUUGGAGUUGUUGAACUGGUGAUUGGAGAUCUGAGAUUCUCAGAGGGAAGAUGAGAUCGAAUCUUCAAAUGGAAGAAAAGAUCUGAGAAAGAAGGAUUGAAGAUUUGGAGGAAAAGAUUGAAGAUCUGAGAGUGAAAAACUGGGGAUUUGAGAAGAGAAAGGCUGAAGAGUUGAGAGAGAAAGGCUUGAGCUCGGAGGAAAAUUUCUUUUCUUUGGUGUGAACAGUUUUUCUCCAGGAUGCACCUAUUUAUAGAACGAGGUGAGCAGAUCUCCACCGUUGGAUGGACGAUCUCUGAGAUUCAAUCCACGCGUUGGAUUAAAGUCGCCCCGAAACCCGGAAAAGCUGUUGGCGCGUGGAGAGCGUGUAAGGGGACCGAGGGAAUCUCGAGGCGCUGUGGCAGACAGCUGUAGCCGAAAGCAGAUUUGACUGCCGUAAAUCACGGAAGGGAUAAGCCGUGACACAAGUGGGCCGUACUUGGGCCUGUCUCGGAUCAAGGCAUCACUGUAGCUGUGGGUGGAGGCCUGAUGGGCCGAGUUUCAGAAACAGUUUUGGACAUGAUGGGCCGAGUUUCUGAAACAGUUUUGGAUACGUUGGGCUGGGUUUCUGCAACAGUCUUGGAUGUUUUGGGCCGAAUUGUUGAAACAGUUGAAACAGUUGGUUUAAAUAAAAGGAUUGGUAUGGAUAAUAACGUGAGCAGCCGUGCUCGAGUGGUUGAGUGUACAGUUCGUGUACAAGAGGUCUGAGGUUCGAACCUCGCCUCUCGUUUAUUUUUAUUAUGUUCGUUUAUGACAUAAUAAGUAUAAAAUUUGUACACAUUAUAUUAAGCGCAGCUUGUGCUCCAGUGGUUAGGGGACAAAGGUUUCGUGCGGCAGGUUGAGGUUUCGAACCUUGCCUUCCCCGUUAUUUUAUUUAUGUCACUUAUGACAUAAUAAAUAUAACACGUGAGCAUAUAUUAAUGAAGGCAGCUCUUGCUUCAGUGGUUGGGAGCAAAACCUUCGUGUUUGAGGUCGGGAGUUCGAACCCUACCUCUUACAAAUAUUUUUGGGUCUCGUAUAUGCUUGAUAUACGGACGUAUAUACGGUAUACAUACGUAUAUACGGUCUGUACGGUAUGCAUACGAAUAUACAGUUGUACGGUAUGCAUACGUAUAUACGAUCUGUACGGUAUGCAUACGUAUAUACGGUAUGUACAAUUUCAUACCGUAGCCGAGCUGGAAGUUGGUGGGCCGAUUGGUAGGCCCAAAUAGUAAGCCCAAUUGUUCGGCCCGAAUGGUAGGCCCAAAUGGUAGGCCCAAAUGUUAAGCCCAAUCGUUCGGCCCGAAUGGUAGGCCCAAAUGUUAAACCCAAAUUGGUUCGGGCCGGUUCGAAAUUUGGAUGGUUCGGUUUCUUCGGCCCAAUUGGCCAGCCCUAAUGCUUAGCUCAAGGAUUGAGCAAGUCCAAGUCAUCAUCACUGGGUGACAUGUUUUAUUGGCGUGCUUUUGAGAAUGAUUUGUUUUGAGUGAUGUUAAUUGAGUAGCGAAACGCUUUGUGGGAGUCUUUACUGUGCUUGUAUGCCAGUACAGGGUGAUGAUCUAUGUGAGGAUCUAUGAGAUAAUCUCUGUGAAGAUCUAAGUGAUGAUCCACGUGAUGAUUUUGUGUAAUUGAUGUGGAGUGAUGUUGAGCAGUUGUUUUGUGAAUUUACAUCGUGAUGAAAGGAUUUAGUGGCCAUAGGAAUGUAUUUUUAUACGAAGGGUUGUGGCUUUGUAGAUUACUACAGUUUUGGGAAAGAUGGAGAUUUGAUGGUUAGGUCAACCUUAAUCAAGAGGAAUUGACUUACGCUUAAAUUUCGGGACGAAAUUUCUUUAAGGAUGGUGGAUUGUAAUACCCCGAAAAAUCUAAAUUAAAUUCCGUGAAUUUUUAGAAAUGAUUCCACGAUAGUGGGAGCGAGUACGAGGCUCGGAGAAGUUGUGGAAUUAGUUCGAACGAUUAAAUUUCGAAAACGAACGUUAUUUAGGGGCUCGCGAAAGUUGACUUUUUAUACGUUCAAAAUUUGGGAAAACUUCCUUCGUGAAAGUUGUAGAGCUCGUCGAUACGAUCUCGUGCAUAUGUGGAACGCAAAAAUCGGAGUUCGUAUGAGAAAGUUAUGAUCAAUUGAAAUUUGGGGAAAUUUCUAUAAAUAGCAAAAAAAUCCCGAAAAUGGAAAUUUUCUGCAGAUUUUUCUCUCCCGAGCUCGGCUACUGUAGCCAUUUCGCCUCCUUCAUUCUUCCUCCUCCGUCCACAAUAGGUCAAAUUGUUGAGUGGGUUUUGUUCACCACACUCCCACCUACACGUCUGUGGAAGCCUUUUAGCAUGGGAAGCACUGUGGAGGCCGUUGCAACCUCGGGAAGUUGCUCCGCCGAGCUAAAAACGCCCAAAAUCGCCGACCUUGGUUCUCCCAAUUCCGGCCACCAUAGCUCGAGUUCUUUGAGGGCUUUUCUAGCCCAGAGGCCGUAGAUGCUUCCCUCCAAGCGGCUUGCAACGAUUUCACCUGUGGAGCUCGAAUUUUGAAGAUUGGGAAACUAGGGUUCUUCGGGUUUCAAAACUUGCGAGGUGAUCGACGGUUUGAUUUGGCGGACGAUUCGUGAAAUUGUAUUUUGAGCUGUUAAGAAGACGCAGCGGGAAUUUAGAGGUGAGUAAACCUCACGUGGUUCAUAUUACGAACCGAAUAAAUUUAAUUACUUUAUUUUGUCGUAAUUGUGUGAAAAUAUUUAUGAAAUAAAUAUUUGUUUUAAAUCAUAUGGGCUUGAUCAACUACGGUCCAUAGGUAAGUAAAAUGAUUUAAUUAUACAAAAUGAAUUUCACGAUUUUUAUGCUUGAACUAUAGUUGGUAUUAGUGAUUAUCCCUGAGCGGAUAAUUACGUAUAUAUAUAUUUACGUGGUUAUAUAUGGAUUGGUGUGACAUGGAGAUGUGUGAUUUUAUAAUGAUUUAAGUGAUGUGAAAUCGAAAACGUGAUUUACCAUAUUCAUUUAUGAUGAUAGUGAUUGGUGAAAUUAUAUUGGAAAUUUAUGGAUGACGUGGUAUUGAGUGAUGAUAUGAUUGAGUAUGGAUUGGUGAUUUUUGGAGUUGUAUUUUGAGUACAUAUAUAUACACAAUAAUAGUACGUAUCAUGGUAUUAUUGAUCCUAUUGUGUGAAAGAAUAUUAUUGUACUCGAUUUUGGUUUUAGGAUCAACAUAGUGACCAGUAUGGGGGAAUCGGAUGCUCUAAUACUAGGUGGAUGAUGGGCUACGAUUGGUCGAGUGUAAGAGACGCCCCAACCCUCAUUGGGUGAUGGGCUAAGUUGAGUAUGUGUAUCGGAUGUUCUAACCUAUGUUGAUGAACUACGAUAUUGAUAAUCACGUCGGAUGCCAUAACCUAGGCCAGGUGAUGGGCUACGAUUCAGUUAGAGCUCUAGUCUGUCAGUCACCGUAUUUGUAUAAAUACGCUUUCGGGGUUUUGGAAAGAAAUAUGUGAGUUUAGAUCCCGUAUUAAUCUUUGGUGAUUUAGAGUGGUGAUUUUAGUGACUGAUUUUGGGGAUUGUGGAUUGCUUUGUGGUUGUUGUGAUUGUUGGUUGUUUUGCUUGAGUUAAAAGAAAUAUGAUUUAAUAAAUCAACCGUUCAUUUCUUGUUUACUCAUACGAGCUUUAAAGAUUUCUUUAAAGCUUACCGGGUUUUGUGUUGUUGCCAAUUCCCGGUGCACUAUUAAAUUCAAAUGGUGUAGCGGGAAAUCCUACAGGUCAGGAAGAUCAAGGCGGAGAUCGUGAGGGUUAGAGUUUUUGUUUCAGUUUACAGCUUUGUAAAUUGUGAGAUGUAUUAUUGAGAGGUGUGAAGUGUGGUUGUUGUGAGAAAAAAUUCAGGACGUUUAUUCUUUUAAGUUGUAUAAUUCAUGUUUCGGAUUUUAAUUGUAUUUAAAAUUCGGGGC